GUCUACGAUCACACUACGUUGAAUGCACCGCAUCCCGUCAGAUCUGCGAAGUAAAGUAACGUUAGGCCGAGUAAGUACCAUGGUUGGAGACAACAUGGAAACCCUCGGUGUCGUAGGCA
RNAcentral lists this ribosomal RNA (119 nucleotides) under Trichuris muris. The record is from RNAcentral. Lineage: Eukaryota; Metazoa; Nematoda; Enoplea; Trichinellida; Trichuridae.